AUGGUAAAAUGGGUGGAUAUCUGCUUGCCCAAGGACCGUGGUGGUAUGGGCAUCAUUGCCUCCCGCCGUAUGAACUCGGCGCUCAUGCUAAGAUGGGUCUGGCGCAUCCUACGCGGCGAGGGAGGAUUAUGGCUUCAGCUCCUUCAAGCAAAAUAUCUGAGGGGUGAACCGCUCUUAGCUUGCAACCGAACGGAAGGCUCACAAUUCUAG
Molecule: ribosomal RNA, 210 nt
Filed under: Triticum aestivum (bread wheat)
Lineage: Eukaryota; Viridiplantae; Streptophyta; Magnoliopsida; Poales; Poaceae
Description: partial small subunit ribosomal RNA
Source: RNAcentral